AACCAGUGAGGAACUCUUGCCUGCACC
This 27-nucleotide non-coding RNA is filed under the name Cricetulus griseus (Chinese hamster). The record is from RNAcentral. Lineage: Eukaryota; Metazoa; Chordata; Mammalia; Rodentia; Cricetidae.